RNAcentral lists this ribosomal RNA (485 nucleotides) under uncultured bacterium. RNAcentral describes it as "bacterial SSU rRNA". It matches the Rfam family "Bacterial small subunit ribosomal RNA", at positions 8 to 518 of the family's 1533-position model. The record is from RNAcentral.
AGAGUUUGAUCAUGGCUCAGGAUGAACGCUGGCGGCGUGCCUAACACAUGCAAGUCGAGCGAUUCUCUUCGGAGAAGACGCGGCGGACGGGUGAGUAACGCGUGGGUAACCUGCCUCAUACACAUGGAUAACAUACCGAAAGGUAUGCUAAUACAGGAUAAUAUAAGAGAUUCACAUGGAUUUCUUAUCAAAGCUCCGGCGGUAUGAGAUGGACCCGCGUCUGAUUAGCUAGUUGGUAAGGUAACGGCUUACCAAGGCGACGAUCAGUAGCCGACCUGAGAGGGUGAUCGGCCACAUUGGAACUGAGACACGGUCCAAACUCCUACGGGAGGCAGCAGUGGGGAAUAUUGCACAAUGGGCGGAAGCCUGAUGCCAGCAACGCCGCGUGAGUGAUGAAGGCCUUCGGGUCGUAAAACUCUGUCCUCAAGGAAGAUAAUGACGGUACUUGAGGAGGAAGCCCCGGCUAACUACGUGCCAGCAGCCGC